AUUCUCUACAUAUGUUUGCCACUGACCUAAAACCUAUAAAAUAAUAAUAAUGAUAUAAUACUGUAGGAAACCCUGUGCAUACAUAAGGAUCGAAUGUUUGAUAUUCCGUCGACGACCCGACGUAUAAUGUAUUCGUAUGGUCCUGAAGAAGCGUCAGUCUUUGAUGAUGAUUAUGACCUUUUAUUCAAUUCGACAACGGUUAAAGUGCAUGAACGGAAAUAUGAUGACAUAAAUUAGACCCACCUUUUCCCAAUAGGAAUGCGUCUCCCGGUGAAACCGAUCGAUGUUAGA
This is a non-coding RNA of Cinara cedri, 291 nucleotides long. The record is from the annotation of a GenBank genome assembly. Lineage: Eukaryota; Metazoa; Arthropoda; Insecta; Hemiptera; Aphididae.